Molecule: ribosomal RNA, 505 nt
Filed under: uncultured bacterium
Lineage: Bacteria
Description: partial 16S ribosomal RNA
Rfam family: Bacterial small subunit ribosomal RNA
Source: RNAcentral
GACGAACGCUGGCGGCGUGCCUAAUACAUGCCAGUAGAACGCACGGUUUAUACCGUAGCUUGCUACACCAUAGACUGUGAGUUGCGAACGGGUGAGUAACGCGUAGGUAACCUGCCUGGUAGCGGGGGAUAACUAUUGGAAACGAUAGCUAAUACCGCAUAAUAUUAAUUAUUGCAUGAUAAUUAAUUGAAAGGUGCAAUUGCACCACUACCAGAUGGACCUGCGUUGUAUUAGCUAGUAGGUGAGGUAACGGCUCACCUAGGCGACGAUACAUAGCCGACCUGAGAGGGUGAUCGGCCACACUGGGACUGAGACACGGCCCAGACUCCUACGGGAGGCAGCAGUAGGGAAUCUUCGGCAAUGGACGAAAGUCUGACCGAGCAACGCCGCGUGAGUGAAGAAGGUUUUCGGAUCGUAAAGCUCUGUUGUAAGAGAAGAACGGGUGUGAGAGUGGAAAGUUCACACUGUGACGGUAUCUUACCAGAAAGGGACGGCUAACUACGUG